This 22-nucleotide microRNA is filed under the name Mus musculus (house mouse). RNAcentral's name for it is "mmu-miR-297c-5p". Its record names the gene mmu-miR-297c-5p. Lineage: Eukaryota; Metazoa; Chordata; Mammalia; Rodentia; Muridae. The record is from miRBase by way of RNAcentral.
AUGUAUGUGUGCAUGUACAUGU